CACCAUGACAACUUCUCUCUCUACAGUGUCACCAUGAUGACCCCUCACUAUUGACCCAUCACCUUGGCAACCUCUUAAUGCAGCUCUCACAUUUUUGUUACUGCAGUUGUCUUAUUUUCACACCUUCACCAUCAGCGACACCUCCGAUUUUUUAAGGUUAACAUAAAUCAUAAUUUUGUCAGAUAUCUUACAGAUAUAUAAAUUCUCACUAAUGACUUCAUGUACAGAAUUGUAAUAUUAGCUUUUUAAUUCCUUUAGCAGAACCUUCACCAAAUAAACAGCCAUUUGAAAAUUCAUGCAUUUAAAUCAACUCAACAAAUCAAAAGUUGUUUUAAAACAUGACAGAAGCAUCCACUCGCUCAUAGCAUGCGAUGACCUUUGUUGUUUGCAAUGAUUAUACGCUGUGAGUGUUUUCGGUUCUCGGAUCACAGGACAGGACCACUUAUGUUUUCAUUGCCAGUGUUUUAACUGAAGUGUAGUUCAUAUUUAGAGCAGAAGGGGGCGCACACGCACUGCAUACAGUGACUAUAGUCUUCAGUUGGCUGUUUUUACAUAAAGCUAGUUAGAACAACUACAGACUAACUUAAACGCUAGGUUUGGUCAGAUCCUCUCUUAUAUUAAUUAGUGCACACAUAUUAUAGUGCAUGAGUCAUAAGGACUAUUUAAUGGUGCCUUUGUGUCUUUUUUGAAGCUUGAAUGUAUCAGUGAAAGAUAUCAUGUUAUAUGAAAGAAUUACAGUCAUCCAGGUUUGAAACAGCCUGAGGAGUCAACUGCUGAUCGCUCACUUUCUCCCGCCAUCACUGAAGGGGUCAGAGAGGUCACCUGUGGCAGUCAUGUACAUGUAUGCCCAUGUGAGAGGAAGGUGAAGGGUAAGAGGUGAAGGAGAGGCUUAUUUUUGGACACGUGCAGGUAGAGUCGACAGGGAGGAAAACAGGUAAGAAUCGAUCUGUUUACACAGGGGUCACGAGUGAAGAACGACCUCCAAAGGCUCAGAGAGAGAAGACAUGCUACGGUAAGAUCACAGUACAAAAUUACAUUUUUGCACCUGCCAGUGAAUGACAACAUUUACCAGCCAUAAAUAGAUUUUACUGCCAUUUACAUUAUUUAUAACAUCAGUGUUGUUAUUACGCAGUGGCAGGAAAGAGGGGAGUCGAGGAUCUAAAUGCAGACAAAAUGUAUUCGAAACACCAACAAAGAUAAUUCAGAACAGGGAGCAGGAACAAGGUAACAAGAUAGGGACAAGGACGAUGCAGCUUUCAGUGAAUGGGUCUUCAGAGGAUCAUACAGGCCUGAUGACAGUGUGGGUCCUCUAGUGUGGGCCGUGUGACCAAAAUCUUGUCCAGUAUAAAGGUAUGU
Megalobrama amblycephala (Wuchang bream) is the source of this 1356-nucleotide long non-coding RNA. RefSeq lists it as uncharacterized. The transcript has 3 exons. NCBI's taxonomy places the organism in Eukaryota, Metazoa, Chordata, Actinopteri, Cypriniformes, Xenocyprididae. The record is from RefSeq and is a predicted model, not a curated record.